GAAUCCUUUAAAUUAGUCCAGAGAGGCUAACAAGGGUAGCGUAGUUUAAUAAUGAAUAUUUUUAGCUCUUAGUAUAUCUAGAGCUUACUAUAUAAAUUAUGACUUCCCUUGUCAGUCGUUGCUGGCAGGGGAAGUCUUAUUUUU
Halobacteroides halobius DSM 5150 is the source of this 144-nucleotide non-coding RNA. The record is from Rfam. NCBI's taxonomy places the organism in Bacteria, Bacillati, Bacillota, Clostridia, Halanaerobiales, Halobacteroidaceae.